This 298-nucleotide unclassified non-coding RNA is filed under the name uncultured fungus. Its description in RNAcentral is "partial contains small subunit ribosomal RNA, internal transcribed spacer 1, and 5.8S ribosomal RNA". The stretch from base 1 to 73 matches the Rfam family "Eukaryotic small subunit ribosomal RNA", at positions 1759 to 1831 of the family's 1831-position model. Lineage: Eukaryota; Fungi. The record is from RNAcentral.
UCAAACUUGGUCAUUUAGAGGAAGUAAAAGUCGUAACAAGGUUUCCGUAGGUGAACCUGCGGAAGGAUCAUUACUGAGUGAGGGCCCUCUGGGUCCAACCUCCCACCCGUGUUUAAUCGUACCUUGUUGCUUCGGCAGGCCCGCCUCACGGCCGCCGGGGGGCUUCUGCCCCCGGGCCCGCGCCUGCCGAAGACACCAUUGAACGCUGUCUGAAGCUUGCAGUCUGAGCAGAUUUAGCAAAAUCGUUAAAACUUUCAACAACGGAUCUCUUGGUUCCGGCAUCGAUGAAGAACGCAGC